GGUUAAGCGACUAAGCGUACACGGUGGAUGCCCUGGCAGUCAGAGGCGAUGAAGGACGUGCUAAUCUGCGAUAAGCGUCGGUAAGGUGAUAUGAACCGUUAUAACCGGCGAUUUCCGAAUGGGGAAACCCAGUGUGUUUCGACACACUAUCAUUAACUGAAUCCAUAGGUUAAUGAGGCGAACCGGGGGAACUGAAACAUCUAAGUACCCCGAGGAAAAGAAAUCAACCGAGAUUCCCCCAGUAGCGGCGAGCGAACGGGGAGCAGCCCAGAGCCUGAAUCAGUAUGUGUGUUAGUGGAAGCGUCUGGAAAGGCGCGCGAUACAGGGUGACAGCCCCGUACACAAAAAUGCACAUGCUGUGAGCUCGAUGAGUAGGGCGGGACACGUGGUAUCCUGUCUGAAUAUGGGGGGACCAUCCUCCAAGGCUAAAUACUCCUGACUGACCGAUAGUGAACCAGUACCGUGAGGGAAAGGCGAAAAGAACCCCGGCGAGGGGAGUGAAAAAGAACCUGAAACCGUGUACGUACAAGCAGUGGGAGCACGCUUAGGCGUGUGACUGCGUACCUUUUGUAUAAUGGGUCAGCGACUUAUAUUCUGUAGCAAGGUUAACCGAAUAGGGGAGCCGAAGGGAAACCGAGUCUUAACUGGGCGUUAAGUUGCAGGGUAUAGACCCGAAACCCGGUGAUCUAGCCAUGGGCAGGUUGAAGGUUGGGUAACACUAACUGGAGGACCGAACCGACUAAUGUUGAAAAAUUAGCGGAUGACUUGUGGCUGGGGGUGAAAGGCCAAUCAAACCGGGAGAUAGCUGGUUCUCCCCGAAAGCUAUUUAGGUAGCGCCUCGUGAAUUCAUCUCCGGGGGUAGAGCACUGUUUCGGCAAGGGGGUCAUCCCGACUUACCAACCCGAUGCAAACUGCGAAUACCGGAGAAUGUUAUCACGGGAGACACACGGCGGGUGCUAACGUCCGUCGUGAAGAGGGAAACAACCCAGACCGCCAGCUAAGGUCCCAAAGUCAUGGUUAAGUGGGAAACGAUGUGGGAAGGCCCAGACAGCCAGGAUGUUGGCUUAGAAGCAGCCAUCAUUUAAAGAAAGCGUAAUAGCUCACUGGUCGAGUCGGCCUGCGCGGAAGAUGUAACGGGGCUAAACCAUGCACCGAAGCUGCGGCAGCGACGCUGAUGCGUUGUUGGGUAGGGGAGCGUUCUGUAAGCCUGCGAAGGUGUGCUGUGAGGCAUGCUGGAGGUAUCAGAAGUGCGAAUGCUGACAUAAGUAACGAUAAAGCGGGUGAAAAGCCCGCUCGCCGGAAGACCAAGGGUUCCUGUCCAACGUUAAUCGGGGCAGGGUGAGUCGACCCCUAAGGCGAGGCCGAAAGGCGUAGUCGAUGGGAAACAGGUUAAUAUUCCUGUACUUGGUGUUACUGCGAAGGGGGGACGGAGAAGGCUAUGUUGGCCGGGCGACGGUUGUCCCGGUUUAAGCGU
RNAcentral lists this ribosomal RNA (1474 nucleotides) under Escherichia coli. RNAcentral describes it as "partial 23S ribosomal RNA". It matches the Rfam family "Bacterial large subunit ribosomal RNA", at positions 1 to 1519 of the family's 2925-position model. The record is from RNAcentral. Lineage: Bacteria; Pseudomonadati; Pseudomonadota; Gammaproteobacteria; Enterobacterales; Enterobacteriaceae.